AGACUAUUUUGUCUUUUCUUCUUCCUUUUACCUUUGAUUUUUCUUCAAGAUUUUUGAUUAUAAACGGUGGUGGUGAUUGAGCUCUUGUAACGAUUUCAAUGACAUUAAGAUCCAAGGGCGGUGACUCAUGACUCAUGUCUAGUGGUGAAACGAGAUGGAUGAAAAAGACGGCAAUAUCUCGGCUUCCGAUUACCAUUCAUGGUGAGUAGUUUCAGCGAUAAUGGUGACUUGAGCAACAAUGAAAAGCAAAAGUGGUAGUUUGGAUCUUUAUAUGCAGUUUUGAUGAAGAUGAUUUAGGAUUUAUUCGAUUUUGAUGAUAAUUGAAGAGGUUGAUUCAAUUGAAUUUCUAAACAUGUAAUUGAUUUAAUGUGUCUAAAAUUGGAAUCCUUGGGUUUCCUACACAUCAUCCCCUUAGGGUUUAGAUUUCUUUUAUCAAAAACCAGUUAAUUGGAUCGAUAGGAUUCAAAAGGUAGAAGAAGAUCAAUAAAUUUUUUGAAAAAAAAACAGAUGAACGAAGACAAGAUGUGAAGAAGAAAGGAAGAAAGAGGGCAAAGUUGUCAUUUUGUCGAUAAAAAUAUGCCGAUCUGUGUAAGCCCAAGUGAAAUGUUCUCUUUUUCUAAUUUUUGGCCCAAAUUAUGACAUACCCCAUAAAAGCCCCCAGUUAAAAAAGGAGAAGCCAUUAUGCCAAGUUACAAUAAUUAAUUUUGAACUCUAACUAAUCAAUGAUAAUUAAGAUGGUUAUCUCUCUUAGGUGACAUAACAUGGGACUUUUGUAAGAAUGAGUACGAGAAAAGAACUUUUAGAGUGAUAACCACACUUCAUCGUCUUUGACAAAUUUUCCGGCAACGAAAAUCCUCAAUCCUCAGUUCUCAUUUCUCAUUGUUGCACUUGUUUCAUAGACACCAUAUUGUCAAUACCAUCACUUUUGUCAAUGUCCAUCAAAAUACUCUCUUUUGUUUUUAACUCUCUUCGCCACCAACACGUCUUCUUCGAUUAACCCAAUCAAUCAAAUUAAACGAUUUUUAAUGGAAGAAAGCUAAACCCUAAAGUCUGGAACUCAACGUGGAUUGUGGCAUUUGAAUUCGAUUCGAGCAAAGCGAGUGAGGAGAUUGUAUUUACUGACGGGGAAAUCUUCGAUGAUAACAAAUCUUGAAGAGGUACUCUUCUCCUUCUGUGUUACACUUUGUUAGAGAGAGAGAGAGAGAGAGAGAG
Molecule: small RNA, 1212 nt
Filed under: Arabidopsis thaliana (thale cress)
Lineage: Eukaryota; Viridiplantae; Streptophyta; Magnoliopsida; Brassicales; Brassicaceae
Description: ATSL046710
Source: RNAcentral